Molecule: ribosomal RNA, 218 nt
Filed under: uncultured bacterium
Lineage: Bacteria
Description: partial 16S ribosomal RNA
Rfam family: Bacterial small subunit ribosomal RNA
Source: RNAcentral
AACGAACCUUACCUUUAAGUCGGGGGAUAGCCCAUAGAAAUGUGGAUUAAUACCCCAUAGUAAUAUUAACUGGCAUCAGUUGGUAUUUAAAGAUUUAUCACUUAAAGAUGGCUGUGCGGCUGAUUAGGUAGUUGGUGUGGGUAACGGCCCACCAAGCCAUCGAUCAGUAACUGGUGUGAGAGCACGACCAGUCACACGGGCACUGAGACACGGGCCCG